CCCUUAGAUGUUCUGGGCCGCACGCGCGCUACAAUGAUGAAUUCAACGAGUUUAUAGCCUUGGUUGAAAAGCCUGGGUAAUCUUUUGAACUUUCGUCGUGAUGGGGCUAGACCCUUGCAAUUAUUGGUCUCCAACGAGGAAUUCCUAGUAAACGCAAGUCAUCAGCUUGCAUUGAUUACGUCCCUGCCCUUUGUACACACCGCCCGUCGCACCUACCGAUUGAAUGGUCCGGUGAAAUCUUCGGAUUGAGACUUUGAUUUCUUCACGGAAAACGCUGUUUUAAAAAGUUGAUUAAACCUUACCAUUUAGAGGAAGGUGAAGUCGUAACA
This 329-nucleotide ribosomal RNA is filed under the name uncultured eukaryote. Its description in RNAcentral is "partial 18S ribosomal RNA". It matches the Rfam family "Eukaryotic small subunit ribosomal RNA", at positions 1470 to 1796 of the family's 1831-position model. The record is from RNAcentral.